GGCAGAUAGUACAUGCAGUCAGAGCGCAGGAACCGUCUGAACCCUUCGGGGGGACGACGGCGGGGGGCGGACGGGUGAGUAACACGUAAAGAACCUGCCCAUAGGACUGGGAUAACCACGAGAAAUCGGGGCUAAUACCGGAUGUGUCAUCGGACCGCAUGGUCCGCUGAUGAAAGGCGCUCCGGCGUCGCCCAUGGAUGGCUUUGCGGUGCAUUAGCUAGUUGGUGGGGUAAUGGCCCACCAAGGCGACGAUGCAUAGCCGACCUGAGAGGGUGAUCGGCCACACUGGGACUGAGACACGACCCAAACUACUACGGGAGGGGCAGUAGUUUUCUUCCACAAUGGAAGGGAGACUGAGUGAGCGAGGGCGCGUGUACCAUGAAGGCUUUCGGGUCGAAAAGCCCCCCCCUAAGCGAAGAACAAGGGCCGCAGUCUGGCCGGCGGUUUUACGUUCUUUUGGGGGGAAAGGCCCCGCUAACUACGUGGCACCACCCGCGGGUAAUUUUUAGGCGCUAAGGUGAGGCCGAGAUCUAUGGUGCCUGCAGGCCGGGCAGGCUGCCUCUUAGUGUGCGAUGCAAGGCCUCGGCCGCUGACUGGGGUGGGAAUUUGUGAUACGGGGAGGUCUGUGAAUGGAAACAGACAAGGGGACUUUGGGAUGCGACGUGGAAAAAUGGCCACGGCUGUGAUGAUGAUCAUGAGGGGGGGCGCAUAUCGUUUUCCGUUUAUCCUGAAAGUUAACGGAAACAGUUUUGAGACUGGAAGUUGUGAUGCCUUCCCCUGUAUUGCAUCGAGGUCGGAUAGCUUUGGAGGGAUAGCCACCGCCGAACUGCUAAAGACGACGAGUCGUGCUCGAGCUCUCCGAGCCUGGCGGGGCUGGAUGAUGGAGUCGAUUCCGCCACCUCAGCUACGUGGAACUUCGGGAACUCCCCUCGGG
RNAcentral lists this ribosomal RNA (934 nucleotides) under Exiguobacterium sp. NRBMD 16. RNAcentral describes it as "partial 16S ribosomal RNA". The stretch from base 1 to 515 matches the Rfam family "Bacterial small subunit ribosomal RNA", at positions 38 to 536 of the family's 1533-position model. Lineage: Bacteria; Bacillati; Bacillota; Bacilli; Caryophanales. The record is from RNAcentral.